Molecule: ribosomal RNA, 454 nt
Filed under: uncultured Prevotella sp.
Lineage: Bacteria; Pseudomonadati; Bacteroidota; Bacteroidia; Bacteroidales; Prevotellaceae
Description: bacterial SSU rRNA
Rfam family: Bacterial small subunit ribosomal RNA
Source: RNAcentral
ACGGAAGGCAGCAGUGAGGAAUAUUGGUCAAUGGUCGCGAGACUGAACCAGCCAAGUAGCGUGUAGGAAGACUGCCCUAUGGGUUGUAAACUACUUUUAUGUGGGGAUAAAAGACUUUACGUGUAGAGUUUUGCAGGUACCACAUGAAUAAGCAUCGGCUAAUUCCGUGCCAGCAGCCGCGGUAAUACGGAAGAUGCGAGCGUUAUCCGGAUUUAUUGGGUUUAAAGGGAGCGUAGGCCGCCUGGUAAGCGUGUUGUGAAAUGUAGGUGCUCAACAUCUGCACUGCAGCGCGAACUGCCGGGCUUGAGUACGCGGAAAGUGGGCGGAAUUCGUCGUGUAGCGGUGAAAUGCUUAGAUAUGACGAAGAACUCCGAUUGCGAAGGCAGCUCACUGUAGCGCAACUGACGCUAAUGCUCGAAAGCGCGGGUAUCGAACAGGAUUAGAUACCCUGGUA